Lolium perenne is the source of this 765-nucleotide long non-coding RNA. RefSeq lists it as uncharacterized. NCBI's taxonomy places the organism in Eukaryota, Viridiplantae, Streptophyta, Magnoliopsida, Poales, Poaceae. The record is from RefSeq and is a predicted model, not a curated record.
CACUGACUGAGGGUAUUUUCAUUUCCUUGAUGUAGCCGCUAAUGCUCUUCAGUCUUCAUUGCAUGGCACCACGAACGAAUACUGAUCAGUGAAACCUCCAGAAUCUUUGUCUUCACUACAAUCUUAAGCUACCAGAGAUCCAGCAAAAUUCGUGCCCUCCAAACCUCCAAGGUGCUUGAUAAGAUUACCAUGUGAAUUGACAAGAUCCUAUCUGUAUUGGGCUCUUUGUUCGUCGAAUCGUAAAUGAGGCUCACAGUUUCAAUCCAAUGUUGUCUGACGGCCUGUAAUCCGUAUGGCAACGUCAGUUUGGAGCUGCUCUUCGACCGUCGUAUCUGCCCACUUUGCUUGGUUACAGUCACAAGAUCAACUAAAAGAAAAGUGUUUUCCGACGUGUGAUCGUGUCCAUUGAUUUGUGAUCGUUUUGCACCACUGGUCCGUGUUGCCCUAAAUUAUUUGUUACUUUGUUCACUCAAUUCAUCAGCUGGCCUACCAGUGAACAACGAGGCUCUUCAUAUCUGCAUUCUUGCCCAAUUCUGCGCAGCUGGUACUGGCUAUAGAUUGUAUCUUUUGAAGGACAGAUUGAUUAUUCAGUUUAGCUUUAAUAUAGUUCUGAAGAUGUUGACAUGAUUUUCCUGUCUAGCUUUUAUUCAGAUUAUAUUGGAGAAUAUCAGGUUUAUCUGAUGCUUCUCACGCACACUAAAACCUAUGAUACAGUUUGUGAAAUAUAUUUGCUCCAGCAAUGGCCAUGGCACAUAUUUCACAUUA